UGAGUAAUGUCUGGGAAACUGCCUGAUGGAGGGGGAUAACUACUGGAAACGGUAGCUAAUACCGCAUAACGUCGCAAGACCAAAGAGGGGGACCUUCGGGCCUCUUGCCAUCGGAUGUGCCCAGAUGGGAUUAGCUAGUAGGUGGGGUAACGGCUCACCUAGGCGACGAUCCCUAGCUGGUCUGAGAGGAUGACCAGCCACACUGGAACUGAGACACGGUCCAGACUCCUACGGGAGGCAGCAGUGGGGAAUAUUGCACAAUGGGCGCAAGCCUGAUGCAGCCAUGCCGCGUGUAUGAAGAAGGCCUUCGGGUUGUAAAGUACUUUCAGCGGGGAGGAAGGCGAUAAGGUUAAUAACCUUGUCGAUUGACGUUACCCGCAGAAGAAGCACCGGCUAACUCCGUGCCAGCAGCCGCGGUAAUACGGAGGGUGCAGGCGUUAAUCGGAAUUACUGGGCGUAAAGCGCACGCAGGCGGUCUGUCAAGUCGGAUGUGAAAUCCCCGGGCUCAACCUGGGAACUGCAUUCGAAACUGGCAGGCUAGAGUCUUGUAGAGGGGGGUAGAAUUCCAGGUGUAGCGGUGAAAUGCGUAGAGAUCUGGAGGAAUACCGGUGGCGAAGGCGGCCCCCUGGACAAAGACUGACGCUCAGUGCGAAAGCGUGGGGAGCAAACAGGAUUAGAUACCCUGGUAGUCCACGCCGUAAACGAUGUCGACUUGGAGGUUGUGCCCUUGAGGCGUGGCUUCCGGAGCUAACGCGUUAAGUCGACCGCCUGGGGAGUACGGCCGCAAGGUUAAAACUCAAAUGAAUUGACGGGGGCCCGCACAAGCGGUGGAGCAUGUGGUUUAAUUCGAUGCAACGCGAAGAACCUUACCUACUCUUGACAUCCAGAGAACUUAGCAGAGAUGCUUUGGUGCCUUCGGGAACUCUGAGACAGGUGCUGCAUGGCUGUCGUCAGCUCGUGUUGUGAAAUGUUGGGUUAAGUCCCGCAACGAGCGCAACCCUUAUCCUUUGUUGCCAGCGGUCCGGCCGGGAACUCAAAGGAGACUGCCAGUGAUAAACUGGAGGAAGGUGGGGAUGACGUCAAGUCAUCAUGGCCCUUACGAGUAGGGCUACACACGUGCUACAAUGGCGCAUACAAAGAGAAGCGACCUCGCGAGAGCAAGCGGACCUCAUAAAGUGCGUCGUAGUCCGGAUUGGAGUCUGCAACUCGACUCCAUGAAGUCGGAAUCGCUAGUAAUCGUGGAUCAGAAUGCCACGGUGAAUACGUUCCCGGGCCUUGUACACAGCGCCCGUCACACCAUGGGAGUGGGUUGCAAAAGAAGUAGGUAGCUU
Molecule: ribosomal RNA, 1331 nt
Filed under: Enterobacter sp. Co9902
Lineage: Bacteria; Pseudomonadati; Pseudomonadota; Gammaproteobacteria; Enterobacterales; Enterobacteriaceae
Description: 16S ribosomal RNA
Rfam family: Bacterial small subunit ribosomal RNA
Source: RNAcentral